Molecule: ribosomal RNA, 422 nt
Filed under: uncultured Enterobacter sp.
Lineage: Bacteria; Pseudomonadati; Pseudomonadota; Gammaproteobacteria; Enterobacterales; Enterobacteriaceae
Description: bacterial SSU rRNA
Rfam family: Bacterial small subunit ribosomal RNA
Source: RNAcentral
AUUGAACGCUGGCGGCAGGCCUAACACAUGCAAGUCGAACGGUAGCACAGAGAGCUUGCUCUCGGGUGACGAGUGGCGGACGGGUGAGUAAUGUCUGGGAAACUGCCUGAUGGAGGGGGAUAACUACUGGAAACGGUAGCUAAUACCGCAUAACGUCGCAAGACCAAAGAGGGGGACCUUCGGGCCUCUUGCCAUCAGAUGUGCCCAGAUGGGAUUAGCUAGUAGGUGGGGUAACGGCUCACCUAGGCGACGAUCCCUAGCUGGUCUGAGAGGAUGACCAGCCACACUGGAACUGAGACACGGUCCAGACUCCUACGGGAGGCAGCAGUGGGGAAUAUUGCACAAUGGGCGCAAGCCUGAUGCAGCCAUGCCGCGUGUAUGAAGAAGGCCUUCGGGUUGUAAAGUACUUUCAGCGGGGAGGA